AACGAACGCUGGCGGCAUGCCUAACACAUGCAAGUCGAACGAGACCUUCGGGUCUAGUGGCGCACGGGUGCGUAACGCGUGGGAAUCUGCCCUUGGGUUCGGAAUAACUCGCCGAAAGGCGUGCUAAUACCGGAUGAUGACGUAAGUCCAAAGAUUUAUCGCCCAAGGAUGAGCCCGCGUUGGAUUAGCUAGUUGGUGAGGUAAAGGCUCACCAAGGCGACGAUCCAUAGCUGGUCUGAGAGGAUGAUCAGCCACACUGGGACUGAGACACGGCCCAGACUCCUACGGGAGGCAGCAGUGGGGAAUAUUGGACAAUGGGCGAAAGCCUGAUCCAGCAAUGCCACGUGAGUGAUGAAGGCCUUAGGGUUGUAAAGCUCUUUUACCCGGGAUGAUAAUGACCGUACCGGGAGAAUAAGCUCCGGCUAACUCCGUG
This 433-nucleotide ribosomal RNA is filed under the name uncultured bacterium. Its description in RNAcentral is "partial 16S ribosomal RNA". It matches the Rfam family "Bacterial small subunit ribosomal RNA", at positions 29 to 507 of the family's 1533-position model. The record is from RNAcentral.